RNAcentral lists this ribosomal RNA (789 nucleotides) under Escherichia coli. Its description in RNAcentral is "partial 23S ribosomal RNA". It matches the Rfam family "Bacterial large subunit ribosomal RNA", at positions 451 to 1239 of the family's 2925-position model. The record is from RNAcentral. Lineage: Bacteria; Pseudomonadati; Pseudomonadota; Gammaproteobacteria; Enterobacterales; Enterobacteriaceae.
GACCAUCCUCCAAGGCUAAAUACUCCUGACUGACCGAUAGUGAACCAGUACCGUGAGGGAAAGGCGAAAAGAACCCCGGCGAGGGGAGUGAAAAAGAACCUGAAACCGUGUACGUACAAGCAGUGGGAGCACAGAGCAAUCUGUGUGACUGCGUACCUUUUGUAUAAUGGGUCAGCGACUUAUAUUCUGUAGCAAGGUUAACCGAAUAGGGGAGCCGAAGGGAAACCGAGUCUUAACUGGGCGUUAAGUUGCAGGGUAUAGACCCGAAACCCGGUGAUCUAGCCAUGGGCAGGUUGAAGGUUGGGUAACACUAACUGGAGGACCGAACCGACUAAUGUUGAAAAAUUAGCGGAUGACUUGUGGCUGGGGGUGAAAGGCCAAUCAAACCGGGAGAUAGCUGGUUCUCCCCGAAAGCUAUUUAGGUAGCGCCUCGUGAAUUCAUCUCCGGGGGUAGAGCACUGUUUCGGCAAGGGGGUCAUCCCGACUUACCAACCCGAUGCAAACUGCGAAUACCGGAGAAUGUUAUCACGGGAGACACACGGCGGGUGCUAACGUCCGUCGUGAAGAGGGAAACAACCCAGACCGCCAGCUAAGGUCCCAAAGUCAUGGUUAAGUGGGAAACGAUGUGGGAAGGCCCAGACAGCCAGGAUGUUGGCUUAGAAGCAGCCAUCAUUUAAAGAAAGCGUAAUAGCUCACUGGUCGAGUCGGCCUGCGCGGAAGAUGUAACGGGGCUAAACCAUGCACCGAAGCUGCGGCAGCGACACUGUGUGUUGUUGGGUAGGGGAGCGU